GCCAAAUUAAGGUGAAACCGCGGAAGGCUCAUUAUAUCAGUUAUGGUUCAAUAGAUCGUACUUCAGUUACAUGGAUAACUGCGGAAAUACUGGAGCUAAUACAUGCCAACAGAGUCCCGACCGGAGACGGAAGGGACGCUUUUAUUAGAUCAAAACCAAUCGGUGGUUUCGGCCAUCGUCUGACUUGGUGACUCUGAAUAACUUUGGGCUGAUCGCACGGCCUCCGUGCCGGCGACGCAUCUUUCAAAUGUCUGCCUUAUCAACUGUCGAUGGUAGGUUCUGCGCCUACCAUGGUUGUAACGGGUAACGGGGAAUCAGGGUUCGAUUCCGGAGAGGGAGCCUGAGAAACGGCUACCACAUCCAAGGAAGGCAGCAGGCGCGCAAAUUACCCACUCCCGGCUCGGGGAGGUAGUGACGAAAGAUAACGAUACGGGACUCAUCCGAGGCCCCGUAAUCGGAAUGACUACACUUUAAAUCCUUUAAGGAGUAUCAAUUGGAGGGCAAGUCUGGUGCCAGCAGCCGCGGUAAUUCCAGCUCCAAUAGCGUAUAUAAAAGUUGUUGCGGUUAAAAAGCUCGUAGUUGGAUCUGUGUCCCGCACCGUCGGUUCACCGCCCGACGGUGUCAAACUGACGCGAUGCGGGACGUCCUGCCGGUGGCGUGUCUAGCUGGCGUCCUUCGGGGCGUCGGGCGGCGCCGAUUCAAUCCUGUCGCGGUGCUCUUCAUUGAGUGUCGAGGUGGGCCGGCACGUUUACUUUGAACAAAUUAGAGUGCUUCAAGCAGGCUGGAUAUUGCCUGAAUGCUAGUGCAUGGAAUAAUGGAAUAGGACCUCGGUUCUAUUUUGUUGGUUUUCAGAACCAGAGGUAAUGA
RNAcentral lists this ribosomal RNA (867 nucleotides) under Frankliniella intonsa. RNAcentral describes it as "SSU rRNA". It matches the Rfam family "Eukaryotic small subunit ribosomal RNA", at positions 69 to 868 of the family's 1831-position model. The record is from RNAcentral. Lineage: Eukaryota; Metazoa; Arthropoda; Insecta; Thysanoptera; Thripidae.